This 396-nucleotide ribosomal RNA is filed under the name uncultured bacterium. RNAcentral's name for it is "partial 16S ribosomal RNA". It matches the Rfam family "Bacterial small subunit ribosomal RNA", at positions 523 to 918 of the family's 1533-position model. The record is from RNAcentral.
AUACGUAGGGGGCGAGCGUUGUCCGGAAUGACUGGGCGUAAAGGGCGUGUAGGCGGUUGAAUAAGUCUGGAGUGAAAGUCCCGGUUUCAAGUUGGGAACUGCUUUGGAUACUGUUCAACUUGAGUGCGGAAGAGGUAAGUGGAAUUCCCAGUGUAGCGGUGAAAUGCGUAGAGAUUGGGAGGAACACUGGCGGCGAAGGCGGCCUGCUGGACGACAACUGACGCUGAGGCGCGAAAGCGUGGGGAGCAAACAGGAUUAGAUACCCUGGUAGUCCACGCUGUAAACGAUGAAUACUAGGUGUGGGGGGACUGACCCCCUCCGUGCCGGAGUUAACACAUUAAGUAUUCCACCUGGGGAGUACGGCCGCAAGGUUGAAACUUAAAGGAAUUGACGGGG